This 545-nucleotide long non-coding RNA is filed under the name Bos taurus (domestic cattle). RNAcentral's name for it is "long non-coding RNA NONBTAT023242". The record is from RNAcentral. Lineage: Eukaryota; Metazoa; Chordata; Mammalia; Artiodactyla; Bovidae.
GGAGUGAAUUUAUAACCCAUGGUUAAGGUAAAAAAAAAAAAGUUUCAUUCUUGUAGAUAGCAACUACAGAGCUAUUUUAAUAAUUCAGAGACCAUCAUAUAUUGGUUCAAAUUCACUAAGGCCAGAAAUCCUUUAAUGAAUUAUGUUGUCUAUUUCUGGAAAUCCAACAAAGCAUGAAUCACUGUUUUUACACAAGUGUCUACUUAAAUUGUUAAGUGUUCCCUUAGAGCAAGUUUGUUUGCUUUUUAAUUAUGCACUGAAUUCACCACACUUGUCCAAAGAUAGGGCUUUAUAGGAAGUCAGCCAUAAGAAAAAUUCAGGGAGAAUGGAGUCCCCCCACCCCUCCAUAUGAGGGUGUCUGGCAGGAAGGCCUUUGGGCGAGGCUGGUUAGGGACUGGUUGUCCCAGCAGUUGAAUCAAAGUUUCCUUUCAGAUCAGCAGUUCCUGGGAAAGAAUGCUGGUCUGUCACAUUCCUAUUGAGUAUGCGUAUAUCACCUUUUCCCUACAGAUGCUGUGUGACUCCUUAGCCUCUGUUUGCUUUGGCCA